AGCAGCCGCGGUAAUUCCAGCUCCAAUAGCGUAUAUUAAAGUUGUUGCAGUUAAAAAGCUCGUAGUUGAAUUUCGGGAUCAGUACGCUGGUCGUGCCUUUGGUAUGUACUGGUGUCACUGAUUCCUCCCUUCUGAAGAACCGUUAUGCCAUUUAUUUGGUGUGGCGGGGAAUCAGGACUGUUACUUUGAAAAAUUAGAGUGUUUAAAGCAGGCUCGCGCUUGAAUACAUUAGCAUGGAAUAAUGAAAUAGGACGUUUGAUCUUAUUUUGUUGGUUUCUAGGAUCGACGUAAUGAUUAAUAGGGAUAGUUGGGGGCAUUAGUAUUCAAUUGUCAGAGGUGAAAUUCUUGGAUUUAUUGAAGACUAACUACUGCGAAAGCAUUUGCCAAGGAUGUUUUCAUUAAUCAAGAACGAAAGUUAGGGGAUCGAAGACGAUCAGAUACCGUCGUAGUCUUAACCAUAAACUAUGCCGACUAGGGA
This 478-nucleotide ribosomal RNA is filed under the name uncultured Glomus. Its description in RNAcentral is "SSU rRNA". It matches the Rfam family "Eukaryotic small subunit ribosomal RNA", at positions 569 to 1052 of the family's 1831-position model. Lineage: Eukaryota; Fungi; Glomeromycota; Glomeromycetes; Glomerales; Glomeraceae. The record is from RNAcentral.